UACGGAGGGAGCUAGCGUUGUUCGGAAUUACUGGGCGUAAAGCGCGCGUAGGCGGCUUUGUAAGUUAGAGGUGAAAGCCCGGGGCUCAACUCCGGAAUUGCCUUUAAGACUGCAUCGCUAGAAUCCGGGAGAGGUGAGUGGAAUUCCGAGUGUAGAGGUGAAAUUCGUAGAUAUUCGGAAGAACACCAGUUGCGAAGGCGGCUCUCUGGACCAGCACUGACACUGAGGCACGAAAGCGUGGGGAGCAAACAGG
This 253-nucleotide ribosomal RNA is filed under the name uncultured bacterium. RNAcentral describes it as "partial 16S ribosomal RNA". It matches the Rfam family "Bacterial small subunit ribosomal RNA", at positions 524 to 776 of the family's 1533-position model. The record is from RNAcentral.